AACGAACGUUGGCGGCGUGGAUGAGGCAUGCAAGUCGCGGGAAUCCCAGCAAUGGGGGAACCGGCGUAAGGGGCAGUAAGGCGUAGGUACCUACCCCGUGGUCCGGGAUAGCCCGCCGAGAGGCGGGGUAAUACCGGAUGACCUCGGGAGAGCAAAGCUCCGGCGCCAUGGGCGGGGCCUACGUGAUAUUACCUAGUUGGCGGGGUAACGGCCCACCAAGGGGGGGAUGUCUAGCGGGUGUGAGAGCACGACCCGCGCCACGCGCACUGAGACACUGGCGAGACACCUACGGGUGGCUGCAGUCGAGGAUCUUCGGCAAUGCGCGCAAGCGCGACCGGGCGACGCCGCGUGGGCGACGAAGGCCUUCGGGUUGUAAAGCCCUGUCGAGGGGGAGAAAGGGGAAACCCGGAUCCAUCCCUGGAGGAAGCUCGGGCUAAGUUCGUGCCAGCAGCCGCCGUAA
RNAcentral lists this ribosomal RNA (460 nucleotides) under uncultured bacterium. RNAcentral describes it as "partial 16S ribosomal RNA". It matches the Rfam family "Bacterial small subunit ribosomal RNA", at positions 28 to 523 of the family's 1533-position model. The record is from RNAcentral.